AGUGGACCUCCCGCGUGACGUCAUCCCACCGAACUCCCCCAGGGCAGGAAUGCAGCAAGGGUAGGCGGGCUCUGCCGGGUACGCGGGAGGUUCCUGUGC
Molecule: signal recognition particle RNA, 99 nt
Filed under: Actinomycetales bacterium
Lineage: Bacteria; Bacillati; Actinomycetota; Actinomycetes; Actinomycetales
Description: signal recognition particle sRNA small type
Rfam family: Bacterial small signal recognition particle RNA
About the family: The signal recognition particle (SRP) is a universally conserved ribonucleoprotein involved in the co-translational targeting of proteins to membranes. Archaeal SRP consists of a 7S RNA and homologues of the eukaryotic SRP19 and SRP54 proteins.
Source: RNAcentral